This 481-nucleotide ribosomal RNA is filed under the name uncultured bacterium. RNAcentral's name for it is "bacterial SSU rRNA". It matches the Rfam family "Bacterial small subunit ribosomal RNA", at positions 28 to 525 of the family's 1533-position model. The record is from RNAcentral.
GACGAACGCUGGCGGCGUGCUUAACACAUGCAAGUCGAGCGGAAAGGCCCUUCGGGGUACUCGAGCGGCGAACGGGUGAGUAACACGUGAGUAAUCUGCCCUGCACUCUGGGAUAGCCUUGGGAAACUGAGAUUAAUACUGGAUAUGACAUGGCCUCGCAUGGGGUUGUGUGGAAAGUUUUUUUCGGUGCGGGAUGUGCUCGCGGCCUAUCAGCUUGAUGGUGGGGUAAUGGCCUACCAUGGCUUCGACGGGUAGCCGGCCUGAGAGGGUGACCGGCCACACUGGGACUGAGACACGGCCCAGACUCCUACGGGAGGCAGCAGUGGGGAAUAUUGGACAAUGGGCGGAAGCCUGAUCCAGCAACGCCGCGUGAGGGAUGACGGCCUUCGGGUUGUAAACCUCUUUCAGCACAGACGAAGCGCAAGUGACGGUAUGUGCAGAAGAAGGACCGGCCAACUACGUGCCAGCCGCCGCCGUAAAC